UGGGGAAUUUUGGACAAUGGGCGAAAGCCUGAUCCAGCAAUGCCGCGUGUGUGAAGAAGGCCUUCGGGUUGUAAAGCACUUUUGUCCGGAAAGAAAUGGCUCUGGUUAAUACCUGGGGUCGAUGACGGUACCGGAAGAAUAAGGACCGGCUAACUACGUGCCAGCAGCCGCGGUAAUACGUAGGGUCCAAGCGUUAAUCGGAAUUACUGGGCGUAAAGCGUGCGCAGGCGGUCGUGCAAGACCGAUGUGAAAUCCCCGAGCUUAACUUGGGAAUUGCAUUGGUGACUGCACGGCUAGAGUGUGUCAGAGGGGGGUAGAAUUCCACGUGUAGCAGUGAAAUGCGUAGAGAUGUGGAGGAAUACCGAUGGCGAAGGCAGCCCCCUGGGAUAACACUGACGCUCAUGCACGAAAGCGUGGGGAGCAAACAGGAUUAGAUACCCUGGUAGUCCACGCCCUAAACGAUGUCAACUAGUUGUUGGGGAUUCAUUUCCUUAGUAACGUAGCUAACGCGUGAAGUUGACCGCCUGGGGAGUACGGUCGC
This 541-nucleotide ribosomal RNA is filed under the name uncultured bacterium. Its description in RNAcentral is "partial 16S ribosomal RNA". It matches the Rfam family "Bacterial small subunit ribosomal RNA", at positions 355 to 889 of the family's 1533-position model. The record is from RNAcentral.